AAGACUAUACUUUCAGGGAUCAUUUCUAUAGUUUGUUACUAGAGAAGUUUUUCUGAACGUGUAGAGCACCGUGAAACCACAAGGAAGAAAUAUAGUGUUCUCUCCUGGGCGUGAAAACGGCUUUUUGGUGUUGCUUUUAUUGCAAGUACCAUUUGCCAUUGAUGAUCGUUCUUACUGUUCUAUUUGGAGGGUAAGAGGGAGAGAACGCGAUCUGAGUGGGU
Molecule: small nucleolar RNA, 221 nt
Organism: Pan paniscus (pygmy chimpanzee)
Lineage: Eukaryota; Metazoa; Chordata; Mammalia; Primates; Hominidae
Source: Ensembl